This 443-nucleotide ribosomal RNA is filed under the name uncultured bacterium. RNAcentral's name for it is "partial 16S ribosomal RNA". It matches the Rfam family "Bacterial small subunit ribosomal RNA", at positions 338 to 795 of the family's 1533-position model. The record is from RNAcentral.
CCUACGGGCGGCAGCAGUGGGGAAUAUUGGGCAAUGGGCGCAAGCCUGACCCAGCAAUGCCGCGUGAAGGAAGAAGGCUUUCGGGUUGUAAACUUCUUUUCUCAGGGACGAAGCAAGUGACGGUACUUGCGGCAUAAGCCACGGCUAACUACGUGCCAGCAGCCGCGGUAAUACGUAGGUGGCAAGUGUUAUCCGGAUUUACUGGGUGUAAAGGGCGUGUAGGCGGGAAGGCAAGUCAGAUGUGAAAACCAUGGGCUCAACCUGUGGCCUGCAUUUGAUACUGUUUUGCUUGAGUACUGGAGAGGCAGACGGAAUUCCUGGUGUAGCGGUGAAAUGCGUAGAUAUUAGGAGGAACACCGGUGGCGAAGGCGGUCUGCUGGACGGCGACUGACGCUGAGGCGCGAAAGCGUGGGGAGCAAACAGGAUUAGAUACCCCUGUAGUC